GACGAACGCUGGCGGCGUGCCUAAUACAUGCAAGUUGAGCGCUGAAGGUUGGUACUUGUACCGACUGGAUGAGCAGCGAACGGGUGAGUAACGCGUGGGGAAUCUGCCUUUGAGCGGGGGACAACAUUUGGAAACGAAUGCUAAUACCGCAUAAAAACUUUAAACACAAGUUUUAAGUUUGAAAGAUGCAGUUGCAUCACUCAAAGAUGAUCCCACGUUGUAUUAGCUAGUUGGUGAGGUAAAGGCUCACCAAGGCGAUGAUACAUAGCCGACCUGAGAGGGUGAUCGGCCACAUUGGGACUGAGACACGGCCCAAACUCCUACGGGAGGCAGCAGUAGGGAAUCUUCGGCAAUGGACGAAAGUCUGACCGAGCAACGCCGCGUGAGUGAAGAAGGUUUUCGGAUCGUAAAACUCUGUUGGUAGAGAAGAACGUUGGUGAGAGUGGAAAGCUCAUCAAGUGACGGUAACUACCCAGAAAGGGACGGCUAACUACGUG
RNAcentral lists this ribosomal RNA (497 nucleotides) under uncultured bacterium. RNAcentral's name for it is "partial 16S ribosomal RNA". It matches the Rfam family "Bacterial small subunit ribosomal RNA", at positions 28 to 507 of the family's 1533-position model. The record is from RNAcentral.